This 9824-nucleotide long non-coding RNA is filed under the name Zea mays. Its description in RNAcentral is "long non-coding RNA (ZMAY_LNC003092)". Lineage: Eukaryota; Viridiplantae; Streptophyta; Magnoliopsida; Poales; Poaceae. The record is from RNAcentral.
UUGAGUUAUGUUAUUACAGACCAGACUAAAAGUGAGUGCAGAGAAGUAAUAUUAUACAAACCAAGGGAGGCACAAACUCCUCCCGACAAGCUAAAAGCAAAAGAUCCUAAGUGGAGGACCGAGUUCUCCCGCACUUCAGUCUUGUUUUUCCUCGUUUGGUACCACCUUGGAGCAAAAGCAACAAAAGUUUGUCGCUUCCUCACCUAAAAACAACAAAGGGAUAGACCCUGAGUAUGGAAUACUCAGCAAGUCUUACCCGACUAAGGAAAAGACUCUCAAGGGUAUGCUGGAUAAAUAGGAGUUAAGGAGAGGCUUUAGCAAAAAUCAACUUAUACUUUUGCAGAAAUAGCUUACUAAAGUGAGUCCUUACUUUCAGUCUUUUAACGCCAUGUUAAGUAUUAAUAGACUCUAUUUGCAUCUAGUCUAAUUUCACAUCACAUCAAGACAACAUCAUUUUUAUCCAUCGUGUUCACAUCCUGACUUUAGGUUGCAGGGAAGUGGCCAAGUCUUCAUAACCGCGAAGGUACGGCGAUCCGAAUCGAUUAUACUCAGCUGAGGAUCUCCAAUCACACGACAUAUGUAGCACUUAACCCUUGCAUAUGUCAACCCGCCACCGGGGUUCUUAAGACCGGAUCAGGUUCACGCAAACCGAGAGCACAGAUACACCACCGUCCAGCCUCUUGCCACGGAGGGUACACGCUACUCUCGCCACCGCUCCACGCCCAUUUCGUGUUGUCUUAUUCCGGCCUUAGUCUACCCGAGGCAAGGCUUACCCAUGACGAGGCAUGUGACCAGUUAAAGGGUCCUCGGUCAGCACGCCUACAUACGCGUUAAUCCUUAACCAACUUGGGUAGAACAUCACCUGUUCCUACCCCAAGUCUCAAUUUAAGUAUUUCCAUCCUUAGGAUUGUGUCUGUUCCUUAGGAUGAAAGAGCAUCACGGGGAACUUUGCAGUAAGAUCCCACUAUUGCUCCAAAUGAAAAUAUUCUUGCAGGUAGAAGCCAUCCUCUCCAUGGUUAAAUUGAGGACAACUUCUAUCCACAAGAUCUAAGCAAGGCUAAGCAUUUUUGUAAAUCAUAUUUUGAUACUUCACCGAAGUAUCUAUAAAGGUAUGGAUAUCAAGGAAAAGCAAUGCAUCAAAGGGUUUCAAGUAACUCCUAUGAACCUAAUGCACAUUUCACUAGACUUAAGUGUGCAAAAAGUAUUUAAAACACAAGGAAAGGGGUUGCAUGCACCGGGGCUUGCCUUCGUUCACAGGUGAAUCAGGCUCAGAUCCACAGAUAUCAAAGUAGAAAUGAUUCCCGGCCUGAGACUCCGAAGGUGGUGGUGGUGUCUCCUCUUCAGUUACUUCUAUCUCUUCUUCUCGUUCUAAUCAUAACCAUACAUAAGUAUAAGAAUGGAUGCCAUGGGAUGCUCAUGAGGAUGCAAAGAUAGCAUAAAUUUAUUAUUUAUGUCUUGAAUACAACUUUCCUUCACGGAGUUCCGGGAACUUAGGGUUUCCGGAGUCGGUAAAGGAGUUCAUAGGGCAGGGGGGGUGUUUUUGGGUUUGGUGAUCAAACAAGGUCCAAAUCAAUUCAAACCCUACCCAAGGCUUUUAAAUAUUAUGAGGAACUCAUAUAAAAAUUUUGAGCAUUUUUAGAAUUACCAUUUGUUUUCUAAAAAUCCAUAACCAACAUUUUUAACUACUUUAAAUACUCUAAAAUUUCUUACUUCUACUAAAAAUCACAAACUUAUUUUUAUUAAAUACUAUGGAAAAUAACAAACCUAGGAAAAUUAGUUUCACAAUUUUAUCAUUUUUCUAUAAUUUUCUACAUAUUUCUAAAGCUCUGCUGGAAAAAGAAAAAGAAAAGGAUUGAAUAGAACUGGGCCGGAUUCAGCCCAGCGGCCCAGGUCCAGGGAGGAAAAGCGCCCGCGCGCAUCCGCGCCCUGGCUGUUUUGCACAAAGGGACUCGAGGUUUUUACUAUCUGCGAACGGGUUUUCUUACUGUUUAACAAGGUCACUGACACUUUGCAAGAAGGUCCCUCGAAUUCUAUCCCUUUACAUUUCCCGGUCCCCGACGGCGUUCAAGUGCGGCUGAGCACCGGCGAGCCACUGCACCGGCCGAUUGAGGCUAAGACAGGCGCUAAGCUUCGGCCGAGACCAAAUCUGAGUCCCCAUGAAUGUUUCCCCCAACUUAAUUUGGCUCAUGAUUGACUAAGGAGCUCUGGCCACGGUGGCCGUGAGCAGCGCGGCAGGACCGACGCGUUCCCGGCGACCAGAGGCUACUCCGUGCAAAUUAAGGGUUUGGCAGGCAUCACAACGAUGUGAGAGUGCUCAAACGAGAAAGCAGGGGACGGGGACUGACCGGAAAAGGGCUAACUGCGGUGAAGCCGGUUUCACGAUGUUCUUCAACCGGUUUGGGGGAAGUCCCAAAUUCGCGUUCUCUGGUGGGGGUUUCGGGAUGCAGGUGGGUGCAGUAGGUGCUUGGAUGCAUGGCGGAGAUGGGGGUACGCUCAAUUUAUAGAGCCCGCAGGCGGUGGUGCUCAAUUUGGCCGAGCCGUGUUGGCGGCCGGAGGUAAAGAUGAAGGCGGCGCGGUGAAUACGUGGCUACUGCCGUGGCAAGCUCACCGGCGACGAUUAGAUGGCCGUAGCGAGUCACGGUGUUGCGGUGGAAAGCAAAACCACGUGGCGUGAGGCCGGGAAGCGGCAGUUCACCGGCGAGCCUAUCGCUCCACCGCAAAGCAGAGGGGGAGACACGGGAGGGGUCACCGGAGUGGAGCCCAGCUCACGGCGGUGAAGAUUCUUACUGGGUGAUGUUUAUCUGGUGUCCACGGCGCACGAAUCACGGCGAGCGGUAAUCGACGGCGAUGGACCACCGGCGGCGAGCAGGGAACGAAAUCUUCUUCAGUUACCCUUUACUGUACCAUGGCAAUCACCUAUUCAGAGUGUCUGACAGCCAAUAUUUAGGCCCAAUUUGCUCACGAAUCUUUAUGGUAACAUACUUAAAGUUCUGCAGCAAUAGUGGAGUGCUACAAACCAGCUAUAACUUUGCUACAUGGUGUUGUCACAAAAAGUCACUGAAUCAUGUCUGAAAUUGGGUUUGAAGUUGGUGGUAAUCCACUGUUAGUCUGAAAAUUCAGACCAAACCAGUCUGACAGCCUGACUUCAGGCUUAAAUAUCUCUGGAUUUUUCUCAACAAGUGAGCUUACAACCUUAAGCAAAGUUGUUCUCCAUUAAUUGGUCUACAAACUUGUUGUGGUCACUUUGGGCAAAAUCCUUAUAUUUUAAAAGAUACAGGGCUCCAAAGUUGAACCAACUCAACUGAAUUUCAGACUUAGGCUCUAUAGUGCUUAAAAGGUGAUUUUUGCAAAUAAGCCCAAAACUUAGGGUUUAACUUGCAAAUUCACAUAUUUGUGAACCAAAUGACUUUACAUGUUUAAACAUAGUAGUUUUUACACUUUAGUCCAAAGGUUCACCACUUUUGCACAUAAGCCCCUAGGGUUUAGUUUUAGGGUUUUUCCAGGGUUCCAAUUAGGGUUUCUGGUAUCCCAGGGGUAUAAAUGUGAUUCAACUUUAUUUUUGUGGUCAUUUUAUGACUUUUACCCUAAAGCUUUAGGUUUUCUUAACUUGGGUUAAGUUUUACCCCUUUAACCACUAUUUAGGGUUAAGUCCUUUAACCAGGGUUCUAUUUGCAAAAACAUUAAAACAAUACAACUUGUUUGAAAUUUUUGCCUAGUGAAUGCACUCUAGGUGUGUCAAACAUAUGCAAUGUCAAUGCUUAUGAUGCCAUGCUCAAGUUUUAUUUAUAGUAACACCAGGGGUGUUACAUCCUUCCCCCCAUAAAAGAAUCUCGUCCCGAGAUUAAAAAUCCUAGGGUAGGUAAUGGUAAAGGAAACACAUCACAUUUUUAUUUCCUUAAUUUUGGUACAAGGCAGGGGUAAUGUGGGGGUUACUUCUUUAUUACAACAGCUAUACAGGCUUUACAAUUUACAUGAGGCUAGAAAGCCUGGGAAAUUCUUAUCUAAAAAGUCUUGGGUUUCCCAUGUAGCCUCAUCUUCCGAAUGCUGGUUCCACUGUAUCUUGUAGAACUUGAGAGUUUUUCUUCGGGUAACCCUGUCCUUUUGAUCCAGAACUCGAAUAGGAUGUUCCGAGUAUGUUAAAUCUGGUUCCAGGACAACAUCAGUCACUUCAAUGGUUCGAUCAGGAACCCGAAGACAAUGUUUCGGGGAGCUGAAGUCGGUAUGCCACUGGUCCACAUUGCUCAAGUACCAGGAAUGGACCAAUGUACCUGGGUGCAAGUUUCCCUUUAACCCCGAAACGCGAUACACCCUUCAUUGGUGAAACUUUUAAGUAGACAUAAUCGUCUACCAGAAAGCAUAAGGGUUGUCGUCGUCGGUCUGCAUAACUCUUUUGUCGAGUCUGAGCUUUCUUCAUAUUAUGAAUAAUUCUCUGAACCUUUUCUUCGACCUCUUUCACCAUAUCAGGUCUAAAGAAGUAUCUUUCUCUAGGUUCAGACCAAUUUAGCGGAGUUCGACACCGUCGCCCAUACAAAGCUUCAAAAGGUGCCAUCUUGAUACUUUCUUGAUAACUGUUAUUGUAUGAAAACUCUGCUAGGGGCAAACAUUCAUCCCAUUUUUGCGAGAAGUCCAGGACACAUGCCCGCAGCAUAUCCUCAAGUAUCUGAUUAACUCUCUCAGUUUGUCCACUGGUUUGAGGAUGAUAGGCCGAACUGUGGAGCAAUUUGGUACCCAAGGAUUUAUGAAGUUCUUCCCAAAACUUGGAUACGAACUGAGGUCCACGAUCCGACACUAUGGUCUUUGGAAUACCAUGCAAACUGAGAAUACAGCUGAUAUAUAAUGCUGCAUAAGUGGCUACUGUAUAUUUGGCCCUGACGGGUAAGAAGUGGGCAAUCUUUGUGAGUCGAUCAACGAUAACCCAAAUAGAAUCAUACCCUUUGGCCGUCCUGGGCAGUCCCACAAUAAAGUCCAUACUGAUGUCUUCCCAUUUCCAUGUUGGGAUUGGCAAAGAUUGUAAUGGACCAGCAGUUUUCAUGUGUAUGGCCUUGACACGUCUGCAAGUGUCACAUCUAGCCACAUAGCGUGCAAUUUCAAUUUUCAUCUUCGUCCACCAAUAAUGUUGCUUUAAAUCUUGAUACAUCUUAGUGCUUCCGGGAUGAAUAGAAUAACGACUAAGAUGUGCUUCAUCAAGAAUUUGCUGGCGGAGCUCUUCGUUCUUUGGCACUACUAUGCGGUUUUUAAACCAUAUCACACCUUGAUCGUCUUCCUUGAAACAUUUGGCUACUCCAGCCCUUAUCUUUUCUCGUAUGUGCUUCAUACCCAGAUUAUCCUUUUGAGCAUCAAUUAUUCUUUGCAAAAUGAUUGACUCAAGCUUUAACUGAUUCAGAGUCCCUUAUUGGAUGAUCCCCAGGUUUAGCUUUUCCAUUUCUUGACACAAAGUGUUGUCGGAGGUCUUCGCCAUAAGACAGUGGCAGGAAGUCUUACGACUCAGCGCAUCCGCCACCACAUUGGCUUUACCUGGGUGAUAAUGGAUCUCCAGUUCAUAGUCUUUAAUGAGCUCAAGCCAUCGUCUUUGCCUCAUAUUUAACUCUGACUGGGUGAAGAUGUACUUCAAACUUUUAUGAUCUGUAUAUAUGUGACAGACAUUACCCAGCAGAUAGUGACGCCAAAUCUUCAGGGCAUGAACCACAGCAGCUAGCUCCAGAUCAUGAGUUGGAUAGUGCUCCUCAUGUCGGCGCAACUGCCUUGAGGCAUACGCAAUCACUCGGCCCUCUUGCAUCAGUACACAGCCGAGCCCACUGCCAGAUGCAUCACAAUAAACGUCAAAAGGCUUAGUGAUGUCCGGUUGAGCCAAUACCGGAGCAGUGGUCAAUAGUGUCUUCAAUUGCUCAAAGGCUUCAUUACACUUAGAAGACCAAUUGAACUUAAUGUCAUUCUUUAAUAAACUUGUGAUUGGCUUCACAAGCUUAGAAAAAUCUGGUAUGAAUCUGCGAUAAUACCCAGCUAGUCCAAGAAAACUCCGGACUUGGUGAACAGUUGUUGGGGGUUUCCACUCCAGAAUAUCUUUGACCUUGCUAGGAUCUACCGCAAUUCCUUUAGCCGAUAACACGUGCCCCAAAAAUUGAAUUUCUUCCAGCCAGAACGCGCACUUACUGAACUUGGCAUAUAGCUGAUGUUCCCUGAGGCGCGUCAAUACAAUCCGUAGAUGCUGAGCAUGGUCCUCUUCAUUCUUAGAAUAUAUCAAGAUAUCGUCGAUGAAGACUACCACGAAUUUGUCCAACUCAGGCAUGAACACCGAGUUCAUCAAGUAAGUGAAGUGGGCAGGAGCAUUUGUGAGCCCGAAAGACAUUACCAAGUAUUCAAACAAUCCAUACCGCGUAGUAAACGCGGUUUUCGGUAUAUCCUCGGGCCGAAUACGGAUUUGAUGAUAGCCCGACCUGAGAUCAAUUUUGGAAAAUACCCUCGCCCCAGUCAGUUGAUCAAAUAAGAUGUCGAUCCUUGGAAGAGGGUACUUAUUCUUGAUAGUGACCUCAUUCAGGGGUCGAUAAUCCACGCACAUUCGCAAGGUUUGAUCCUUCUUCUUAACAAAAAUGGCGGGACAACCCCAUGGGGACGAGCUUGGCUGGAUGAAUCCCUUAUUUAGUAGAUCUUGUAAUUGAAUCUUCAGUUCCGCUAAUUCAUUAGGGGGCAUGCGGUACGAUCUUCGGGAGAUGGGAGCCGUACCGGGCUUUAGCUCAAUUACGAAUUCUACAUCUCUUUCAGGGGGCAGUCCAGGCAAAUCUUCCGAAAAUACAUCUGGAAACUCACAUACUACCGGAAUGUUCUUGAUUUCCGGUACAAUGGCUUCAUAGACUCUACCAGAAGCUUUGGCCGGAUUGGUUGCGGGGAGAGUCAAAAGAAUCUCUUCUUGGUUAUAGCUCAACCUGACGGUUCUGAGUUCAGUGUUGAGAAUUGCCUUGUGUUGGGUUAACCAAUUCAUACCCAAAAUUACAUCUAUAUCCUGGCCCUUUAGAACAAUCAUGUUAGCAGGAAAGUUCCGUCAGGCCAUUGUUAUUGGCACCCCAUAGGCCACUUCUCUAGUAUAAAUGUGUCCCCCAGGUGAAUGAAUUUUAAAUCCCUCCUUUGAUUCAUGGUAUGCAAUAUGAUGUUGUUCCACAAACUUCUUGCUAAUGAAUGUAUGUGAAGCACCAGAAUCAAAAAGAAUAAUUGCUGGGUGACUGGCCACGGGAAACGUACCCAUCAUCACCGGCUCUCCUUCCGGUGUAGUAGCCACUUGAGUGUAAUAUACACGCCCCGUUUUCUUCGUAUUCUUCCCCAUAGCAUUUCCUUUAGGCUGAGCUGAUUUCCCAGAUCCUUGCGAAGCAUUAGAUUGAUUUUGCCUAGGAUAUGGGCAGUCUUUGAUAAAAUGUCCCGACUUGCCGCAAUUAAAACACCCAGUUGAAGAACUAGGCAAGGCAGGGAAUCGAGUGCCUGGGGCACCCGGCUGUUUUGGGGUAGUGGGGGUAUUGUUGGGGCGGAUAAUGAUAGGCUGUUUGAAGGGGAAUGAGGGUGGACGAGAAAAAGGGCGAUUUUGGCUUGAAGGUCGGAUCACAAACCGUGGUUUCUUCGCCUGACCCUGAUUAGGCCUCUGACCACCGAAUCCCUUAUUCUUCCCAGAAUUUGUGUAUUUUGCUUCAACAGAUAAGGCUGUGCUGACAGCCUUUCCAUACGUGAGAUCUAUGCAUGUGGCCAUUUUCCUUUGUAGCCGAUCAUUUAGUCCCCGCAUAAAACAGUUCUUCUUCUUUAAAUCAGUAUUCACCUGGUCGAUGGCAUACUGCGACAGGUGGUUGAAUUUGUUGAGAUAUUGGUUGACGUUAUCUCCACCUUGUUGUAACUUCAUAAAUUCCUCUUGUUUCAUAUGCAGCACUCCUUCGGGGAUGUAGUGUUCACGGAAGGCUGCUUUAAACUCAUCCCAGGUGACUUGAUGGUUGACAGGUUGAAUAGCCACGAAAUUUCCCCACCAGGUACUGGCAGGACCACGGAGUUGUUGUGCUGCAAAUAACGGCUUCUGCGUCUCUGAGCAACGGAGAAGACCAAACUUUUGCUCAAUAACCCGAAUCCACUCAUCAGCUUCUAGGGGAUCUUCUGCCUUGACGAAUAGAGGUGGACGGGUUUCCGAGAAAUCCAGAUAGGUAGUCUCACGAGGGCCUUGCGGAUAACCUCUUCCCGCCUGCUGCUGGAAUUGCUGCUGACCCGCCAUUUCCCUAAGGAAGCGGGUAUUGUCUGCGGUGGCAUUCACCAAGGCGGCAAUCGCCUCGGCUAACGUGGGAGGAACUGGAGGUGGGUUUGGGGUAACAUCCCGUCCCCCAGAAGUUCCUGCUGCAUCCUGUCCUCGAGUCCUGGUCGGCAUCUGUGGCAAAAACAUUUGAAGUAAACAUAAUGUGCCAGAGAAAACCUUCCAUUUUACAUUACUAUAAAAAGUAAUGAUACAGACUCGAUAUUACAUAACAGGAUACAAUACCCAUUAUACAAAAAUUCAACCUAUUAUACAACAGUACACCCUACAAUACCCUACUCUACUUUUACUUCUAUUACACCCUUAUUCCUGUUUUCCAUUAGUCUUGGCGGCCUCAUCGUCAGGUGUGGGAGUCCAGACAUCAACCAACCUCAAAGAAGGAGGGGGCUCAAAAAGGUCUAACUCCCCACCCAGCGCACGUCCCGCAACGUGAGAUGGUCCAGCUUCCGCCUCAGCAGGUUGUGCAGGCUCACUUGGGUGUAAUUGUGAGUAUAAUAUAUGGACUUCCUCGUGCAACGUAUUGCAGUAAACCUGCAGGUUAUCAACCGUUGAGCUAAGUUCUUUAAUUCGGGCCUGAGCCCUUGCUUCCUUAGCACACAUUAGCAAACGAGACUGCACGGCCCAGUCAAGUGCUAAGUCUCGAUCAGCGAGUUAAUCCUGCAAGUGUCGGAUGUCCCUUCUUAGUUCAUUGAUUCUAUCUCCGUCGGCGACCCAAGCAUCAGUCCUAUGUUGCAGCGCUGCUUGAAGUCGACUCACACGAGCUUCAAGGUCUCCGAUGGGGUCGUUACUUCCACUGCUGUUGCUUUCAUGUCGGGGAGCCAAUUGAUGCCGAGGCACCCCAAUUGGUCCCGUAGACUUGCGUGCCGUUAGCCUGGUGCGUGGCGGCAUCUUUUCUAAGGGGGAAAAUGUUAUUAGUAUAGUGCUUAGCAUGAUGCAUGUGUAAGUACAGAAUCAACCUUAGUCGAUUCAACCUUCUAUACAUUGCACUCUUCCUAUCUGGUCUUUAAGAUAGACUCUUCAGAAUACUUAGGUAAGAAGAGAAAAGAAUUUUUAGGUAAGACUUUUGAAAAUCAUUUUGAAGAUGCCUCAUAAUAUCUGCAAAGAAGGGCUACGCUCCGAUACCAGCUGUGACAGAACCUCCCAAGUAAUUAGGCCCACCUACAGUUGUCCUUGUCCAACGGACUUUAGACAACCCUGUAGGUGCCCCUGAACUACUUGACAAGUUCGGUAUCUUUCCUUACCUUACCAGGAACGUCUCACCCGUCUUGCAGACAUUACAGAACAUCGGAGAUAAAGAAAUGCGGAAGCAGUUACAUAAACUUACAUUUAUUUCAAAAGCAAGCUUGAGUUAUGUUAUUACAGACCAGACUAAAAGUGAGUGCAGAGAAGUAAUAUUAUACAAACCAAGGGAGGCACAAACUCCUCCCGACAAGCUAAAAGCAAAAGAUCCUAAGUGGAGGACCGAGUCCUCCCGCACUUCAGUCUUGUUUUUCCUCGUUUGGUACCACCUUGGAGCAAAAGCAACAAAAGUUUGUCGCUUCCUCACCUAAAA